GCGGGCAGCAUAACAUGCAGUCGAGCGAGCUUGCCUAGAUGAUUUUAGUGCUUGCACUAAAUGAAACUAGAUACAAGCGAGCGGCGGACGGGUGAGUAACACGUGGGUAACCUGCCCAAGAGACUGGGAUAACACCUGGAAACAGAUGCUAAUACCGGAUAACAACACUAGACGCAUGUCUAGAGUUUGAAAGAUGGUUCUGCUAUCACUCUUGGAUGGACCUGCGGUGCAUUAGCUAGUUGGUAAGGUAACGGCUUACCAAGGCAAUGAUGCAUAGCCGAGUUGAGAGACUGAUCGGCCACAUUGGGACUGAGACACGGCCCAAACUCCUACGGGAGGCAGCAGUAGAGAAUCUUCCACAAUGGACGAAAGUCUGAUGGAGCAACGCCGCGUGAGUGAAGAAGGGUUUCGGCUCGUAAAGCUCUGUUGGUAGUGAAGAAAGAUAGAGGUAGUAACUGGCCUUUAUUUGACGGUAAUUACUUAGAAAGUCACGGCUAACUACGUGCCAGCAGCCGCGGUAAUACGUAGGUGGCAAGCGUUGUCCGGAUUUAUUGGGCGUAAAGCGAGUGCAGGCGGUUCAAUAAGUCUGAUGUGAAAGCCUUCGGCUCAACCGGAGAAUUGCAUCAGAAACUGUUGAACUUGAGUGCAGAAGAGGAGAGUGGAACUCCAUGUGUAGCGGUGGAAUGCGUAGAUAUAUGGAAGAACACCAGUGGCGAAAGCGGCUCUCUGGUCUGCAACUGACGCUGAGGC
This 750-nucleotide ribosomal RNA is filed under the name uncultured bacterium. RNAcentral describes it as "bacterial SSU rRNA". It matches the Rfam family "Bacterial small subunit ribosomal RNA", at positions 42 to 752 of the family's 1533-position model. The record is from RNAcentral.